Dreissena polymorpha is the source of this 2935-nucleotide long non-coding RNA. RefSeq lists it as uncharacterized. The record is from RefSeq and is a predicted model, not a curated record. Lineage: Eukaryota; Metazoa; Mollusca; Bivalvia; Myida; Dreissenidae. The transcript has 5 exons.
GAGAAUGAAUAGCCGCCCUUUUCUACAAUUUCGACAAACAUAUUCAGUACGAAAAGAAAAAACAAAUUGGCAAAAGAGAUGGCUGCAAAUUUGGUAGGAAUGGCUUUUCUUCCCUACUACAGACAUUUGAUGGAGUUGCUGGAAACAAACCAAGAAAUUAAGAAAACAAGCAAAGGGAUAUUCAAGCAGAUGGCCUGGGCAGCUGGAGGCACAUGUGCGGGUGGUCUGGUAGCUGGACCCCCAGGAGCAUUGAUUGGUGGUAUUGCUGAGUCAGCCAGACCAUGAUUGAGCUUAAGGAUUGUGCUGCGGAUGCGGCCUGUGCAGUUCCGGGAGAAAGUCACUGUCUUGGGCAUUGUGGUCUGGUAUCAGGUCUGGAUGAUCCUUGCCUGACUCCGGGUUUGUGUACACCUCAAUCCGACUUCCUGUCCGGUACCGAGGCUGCAGUGGUGCAGCGCUUGUGGACGAUCCAUCAACAUCCUGAAAGGUCAACACUUCACCAAGCUGGGAAAAUUGAUCCUGAUAGUCAUCCCCAGGUAGUGGAAUGAAUGUACACUGAACUACAGAGGAAUCACACCCAAAUGACUUUCAUGACAUUAGUGUGGCCCCUCGCGUAGGAAUUCCUUAGCAAACAUGCUUUUUUGCAUGGGGACUGUGGCAUUUUUGCAAAACUUAAGCUUUCAACACUGGAUUUUAAAGAGAACACUUAAUAAAAUGUAGCUAACAGGUCUUAUUUUUAUGAGAGAGACUAUCUGGAUGAGCAACAAAUGUCACAUUGUGUCGUUAGCUGUUGAAGGAGCGAUUUGCGCCAUUUUAAGUGUUCAUUUUGGGUAGCAGGCUUGUAUUGGCUUGAAAGCUGCAAGUUAUUCCUCUCAUCAUAAUAGCAUUAUUAUUUUAACUGCAAUGUGUAUGUUUUGAUUGUAAGUGAAGCUUUUAAUAAUAAUUUUCUUGAAAAACAUGAUUUAAUAUGCUGUCAGUGAGGUUUUUUUUUGAAAAAAGUGCUUAAAAUUUUAAAAAAGUCUCCUUUUUCAUCAAAAAAAGUACACUGAUUCACAAUCAAUACAUUUAAUUGGGCCUUUUGCUGAUUUAUUGGUGAAUUUUGCAUGCAAUGAUACCAGUUUUUGCCAUAAAAGUUACGCGUAACAAUAAUUGGAGACACAAAAUCAGCUGUCGUCACUUAGACUAAAAAUCAUGCAUUCCUACUUGACUGCUGCAAAUUUAGUCACCGCUUUUAAUGGCCAUUUUAAGGCUUUUGCCCCCAUCCACAUGCACUGAAAUUGCAUAUUCAUGGUGGAAAUAGUUCAAAUCUCAUGUGGAGAAAGUUUGAAAAAGAUAGGACAAAGUUAAGUUCCCUUAAAGGUUACAUUACACUAAAUCAUUGUGUAUCCCUCCGUGGUCCAUUCGAAAGUAGUGCCUAUUUCUAAAGGGUUCCUUUUCUCUUCUUGAAUAUAAGCCAUUUAACAAUGUGAGACAUGUCUUUUGUGGUUAUUUGUUAUAUCCUGUAUGUGUUUUGGAGUACUUUGAUGCCUUGGAUUGGAAGCUAACUUAAAAGAUGAACUUUUGAGGGUGUGUUUUCUAUUGUGUGGGGCUUUUGUCGAAAUUAGGAUUCUGAAACACGUUUUUCUACGGUGGGUUCAUUUGACAGCGAUUUACUUUCUUAGAAGUUGCGAGACGGUAUGUUUUUGAUUGCAAUAAUUGGAAGAGGACAGAUCCAUCUUUCAAAUGAUACCAGGUUCGGUAAAAUUGAUACGUCGAAAAGGCAAGAAAAAUGCUGUGAAAGUUGUCAGUUUUAUAAUGGGACCCUAUGGGAAUCGGAAUUAGUGUAAUAUAACCUACAUUAAAUCGGAUGAAUACUCCUCAAUGCUGAAAAUUUUGCACAAUUUAACAGACAAAGAAAAGCCUGAAUUAGUGCGUAAAGUUCAGGAAUUGGUGGGCAGCACAGCCCUGGAGUCUCUGACCAGCUUCAUAGGGACACAGGUGCAACGAGAGCUGCUGCUUAACUGUGUGCGACAAUUUCUUGGUAAUAAAGGUGGAGGAUAGUGGAAUGUAACCUGUGAAACUCUCAUUAGUGCACUUGAAAAGUGGGGUUCUGGAAGACAUUUUCUUUUAAAUAUUCAAAGGGAACAAUGAACUUGAAAAAAUACAACUCUUAACAAAUAAUUAUUAAAUACUUUGAUUUGUAUGGUAUAUUUCCUUUUAAAGUGUUUCUUACAAUAGCUACAUGUAUAUGUUACACUUAAAAAUGAAAUUAUGAUUCCCAUUAAUUGAAUAACAAUGGCUUUUUUAAUAUCUAUAAUUCUUAAUUUAGGCAUUAUUGACAGUAUUUUUGCGUAUGAAGAAGUAAAGCAUGAACUCAUUUAUUAAUUUAAUUCAGGAAGUAUCAAUACCCUUGAACAUCUAGUACUUGUACCUUUAAAUAUUGAGUUAAGUACCAGUACCCUAUACUUUUGAUUGCCAGUGCCUUUUAACAUUAGUACUCACAAGAACAUUGAACACAUAAUCAUAGCUUUUAUAAUAGUUUAGGGUGAUACUUUUUGAUAAUACAGAAUUCAUUUAAGUUUGCAUGAUGACAUUGAUAACAUGUUUGUGUUACCACUACACAAAGUAUUGCUCAUUAAAUCAAGUACCAGCAGACCAUGUUUAGGGCCUUUCCCCAGGAUUUAUUUAAGGCUAAGAGACAAAGAGCCGCAAUUGCAAUAAGUUCUAUUUUUAAUUUGAUUUGCCUUAAAUUGUUGUCUUCAUUACGUUAAAGCUAAAAUGAGCACAGAAAGAUGAUAUUUGUAAAAUAAGUCACAGCGGAGCCACUGUUUUUGAAAAUCAGCCACUAGGUUGCCCCUGCGCUUAAAUACUGUGGGUAAAGGCCUGUCCAUACCAUUAAUGUAAUCUGAUUUAACAAAGUGCAUAUACUUGUUAUGCAUGAAUACACGUUAAGAAACAU